This 78-nucleotide antisense RNA is filed under the name Escherichia coli. Its description in RNAcentral is "sRNA antisense regulator of ompA, lamB, ompX, and phoP; Hfq-dependent". It matches the Rfam family "MicA sRNA". The record is from RNAcentral. Lineage: Bacteria; Pseudomonadati; Pseudomonadota; Gammaproteobacteria; Enterobacterales; Enterobacteriaceae.
AAAGACGCGCAUUUGUUAUCAUCAUCCCUGAAUUCAGAGAUGAAAUUUUGGCCACUCACGAGUGGCCUUUUUCUUUUC